Molecule: ribosomal RNA, 530 nt
Filed under: Neoscytalidium dimidiatum
Lineage: Eukaryota; Fungi; Ascomycota; Dothideomycetes; Botryosphaeriales; Botryosphaeriaceae
Description: LSU rRNA
Rfam family: Eukaryotic large subunit ribosomal RNA
Source: RNAcentral
ACAGCUCAAAUUUGAAAGCUGGCCCCCCCCGGGGGUCCGCGUUGUAAUUUGUAGAGGAUGAUUCGGCGAGGGCUCCCGCCUAAGUCCCCUGGAACGGGGCGUCAUAGAGGGUGAGAAUCCCGUAUGCGGUGGGCUGCCUUAGCCAUGUGAAUCUCCUUCGACGAGUCGAGUUGUUUGGGAAUGCAGCUCUAAAUGGGAGGUAAAUUUCUUCUAAAGCUAAAUACCGGCCAGAGACCGAUAGCGCACAAGUAGAGUGAUCGAAAGAUGAAAAGCACUUUGGAAAGAGAGUUAAAAAGUACGUGAAAUUGUUGAAAGGGAAGCGCUUGCAGCCAGACUUGCCCGCAGUUGCUCAGCCGGUCUCCUGACCGGCGCACUCUUCUGCGGCCAGGCCAGCAUCAGUUCGGGCGGUCGGAUAAAGGCCCCGGGAACGUAGCUCCUCUCGGGGAGUGUUAUAGCCCGGGGUGGAAUGCGGCCAGCCUGGACUGAGGAUCUCGCUUCGGCUAGGAUGCUGGCGUAAUGGCUGUAAGCGG